RNAcentral lists this ribosomal RNA (119 nucleotides) under Pteropus alecto (black flying fox). The record is from RNAcentral. Lineage: Eukaryota; Metazoa; Chordata; Mammalia; Chiroptera; Pteropodidae.
GUCUACGGCCAUGCUACCCUGAACAAGCCCAAUCCCAUCUGAUCUCAGAAGCUAAGCAGAGUCAGGACUGGUUAGAACUUGGAUGGGAGACCACCUAGGAAGACCAGGUACUGUAGGUG